CGCGUCUCCGUUGAUGAUUUUAGGUGCUUGCACUUGAAAGAUUUAACAUUGAGACGAGUGGCGAACUGGUGAGUAACACGUGGGUAACCUGCCCUUGAAGUAGGGGAUAACACUUGGAAACAGGUGCUAAUACCGUAUAACAACCAAAACCACCUGGUUUUGGUUUAAAAGACGGCUUCGGCUGUCACUUUAGGAUGGACCCGCGGCGUAUUAGCUUGUUGGUAAGGUAACGGCCUACCAAGGCGAUGAUACGUAGCCGACCUGAGAGGGUAAUCGGCCACAUUGGGACUGAGACACGGCCCAAACUCCUACGGGAGGCAGCAGUAGGGAAUCUUCCACAAUGGACGAAAGUCUGAUGGAGCAACGCCGCGUGAGUGAUGAAGGGUUUCGGCUCGUAAAACUCUGUUGUUGGAGAAGAACAGGUGUCAGAGUAACUGUUGACAUCUUGACGGUAUCCAACCAGAAAGCCACGGCUAACUACGUGCCAGCAGCCGCGGUAAUACGUAGGUGGCAAGCGUUGUCCGGAUUUAUUGGGCGUAAAGCGAGCGCAGGCGGUUUUUUAGGUCUGAUGUGAAAGCCUUCGGCUUAACCGGAGAAAUGCAUCGGAAACCGGGAGACUUG
Molecule: ribosomal RNA, 621 nt
Filed under: Lentilactobacillus buchneri
Lineage: Bacteria; Bacillati; Bacillota; Bacilli; Lactobacillales; Lactobacillaceae
Description: bacterial SSU rRNA
Rfam family: Bacterial small subunit ribosomal RNA
Source: RNAcentral